RNAcentral lists this ribosomal RNA (371 nucleotides) under uncultured bacterium. RNAcentral describes it as "bacterial SSU rRNA". It matches the Rfam family "Bacterial small subunit ribosomal RNA", at positions 527 to 896 of the family's 1533-position model. The record is from RNAcentral.
GUAGGGUGCGAGCGUUAAUCGGAAUUACUGGGCGUAAAGCGUGCGCAGGCGGCUUUUUAAGCCAGAUGUGAAAUCCCCGGGCUUAACCUGGGAACUGCAUUUGGAACUGGAAGGCUAGAGUGCGGCAGAGGGGGGUAGAAUUCCACGUGUAGCAGUGAAAUGCGUAGAGAUGUGGAGGAAUACCGAUGGCGAAGGCAGCCCCCUGGGUCGACACUGACGCUCAUGCACGAAAGCGUGGGGAGCAAACAGGAUUAGAUACCCUGGUAGUCCACGCCCUAAACGAUGUCAACUAGUUGUUGGAGGAGUGAAAUCCUUUAGUAACGAAGCUAACGCGUGAAGUUGACCGCCUGGGGAGUACGGUCGCAAGAUUA